Molecule: long non-coding RNA, 2642 nt
Filed under: Sus scrofa (pig)
Lineage: Eukaryota; Metazoa; Chordata; Mammalia; Artiodactyla; Suidae
Description: lncRNA (ENSSSCG00065013160.1)
Source: RNAcentral
GUGGUAGACCUGAGGUUGCUGUUUGGUUGGCAGGGUUGGCAAUCAGGAAGAAGAGCUACACACAGUAUGGGGGAGAGCAGAGACAUGGUGAAAUCCUCUGGCAUCUUCAGUUUGACUAACUCUAACCUGAAAUCAUAUGGGAAGAGGAUUCUGGGAAUUGUAGUUUGAGCUUAGCCCAGCUGCGCUUAACCUAGCUGCCAAAGCAGGUGAGAGUGGGAGUGGGGAACUAAGUGGGGAUGUGAUAGUGUGGGAGUCCACAGUGGUAUUUUAUAAAUCUAGGUUCAUUUUACUGUGAGAGAGCAAGUUCUUUACAUUCUACGAGCCUUUUUCUUCCUCUGUGAAAUGGGAGAUAAUCUUUACUUUAUGUGAUUAUUGUAAGGAUUAAGGGAAAUGUUUGCAAAGCAUUUAGCAGAGUGUCAGCACAAUGCAAACUAUUAUAAAGAGUAGCUUCUAUUAAUAGUAGUAGUUGUGGUAGUGAUAGAAGGGAUUGAGAAAUAUUUCGAAAUGAGAGGGGAGGAGUAGAGAAGAUGAAUGGGAGUAAGAAUGACAUGGAAGACAUAGUUCUUAUAUUUGAGAAUGUUAUAUUCUGGUGACAGAGAACACAUGUAAACAUAUAGAAUGUUUAGGAAGCUGUUAAGUAGGGCAGUAUCCUUUAAGAAAAUAACUGCUGUGCUGAGUGUAGAGACCGCAAGUGCUGUCAUUCCAGUGUAGUUAAGGUUAAGUGGUAGUGUAUGUGAAAUUCCUGGUACACUGAGAGUCCACAGAGGUUAAUUAUUUUCCACUUCGUUUCAUUUAUAGAAGGAAGGAUGGCCAGGUGAGGGGGAUGGGAAGGCUUAAGCUGGGUCCUUCAAAGAUGGUUUAGACAAGUAGAAAAGCGGAAGGAAGCAUUUCAGACAAUAGUAGGAGGCAUCAACAAGGCAUGUGGUGCUUCAUGAACACAACUGUAUACCUGUUGACUCCUGCUCUUUGCUUUUGUAAUCUAUUUGUAGUUUCUAAAGAUUGUGUUUGUUCCUGCUUGGACUGGUUGCCCACCUCUGGACUAUCAUUUAUGGUGUGGGACAACACUGAGCUAAUUUGAUAUCAGUUAGUAAUUAAGUGGGUGGUUGGAGGUGUGGUGGUAGAAGAGACAAGUUUCCAGAAGAAGGCCACUAUGGAUGAAUCACUCCUUUUGUUAUAGUCGUUCAGUAUUAUAAUUCUACCUUGUUCUUUUCAGGACAUUAUUAAGCAUUUUAUUCUUUUUAUACAAUUCGUAUUUAUUUAACUUCACCACGUUUACCAAUUUCUUGUUAGCUUUUGUUCUGAAAUCACGUUCCUUCUUCAUGAACCCUUUUUUUUUUUUUUAAAUGGCUGCACUUGUAGCAUAUGGAAGUUCCCAGGCCAGAGACUGAAUUCAGGCUGCAGCUGUGACCCACACCACAGCUGCAGCAAUGCUGGAUUCUUUAACCCACUGUGCCAGGCCAAAGAUUGAACCCAUGCCUUUUUAGCAAACUGAACUGCUGCAGAUGGAUUCUUAACCCGCUGCACCAGAGCAGGAACUCCUAGCUCUUGUUCUUGAUUGAUGUUUUAGUUGUGAAUGAAAAUCUGGAUUAGCACUUACUUCCCUCUAAGCAUUGUUUUUUUUUUUUUUUUUCCUUUGGCCACACCUGUGGCAUGUGGAGGUUCACAGGCCAGGGACUGAACCCAUGCCACAGCAGUGACCUGAGCCACUGCAGUGACAAUGCCGAAUCCUUAACCUACUGCACCACAAGUGAACUCCCUCCUCAGCAAUUUUAAGAUGUUAUUCCAUUCUGUUUUCUGCCAUAUAAUCAGACCUAAAAGAUUGUACCGGAUGUUUUAUUAUAGUAAUAUUUUAGUUUUGUUUAGCUUUUCUUUUUAUUUCUGUUUUUUUUUGCCUUUUUUAGGGCUGCACCCACAGCAUAUGGAGGUUCCCAGGCUAGGGGUCGAAUUGGAAGAGUUGCAGCUGCCAGCCUGUACCAAGCCAUAGCAACGUAGGAUCUGAGCCUCAUCUUCAUCCUACAGCUUGUGGCAAAGACAGGUCUUUAACCCACUGAGUGAAGCCAGGGAUGGAACCUGCAUCCUCAUGGAUAUUAGAGGGGUUUGUUAUACUGAGCCACAACAGGAACUCCCAUCUAUUUUAAUUUUUGUAUUCACUGAAUGAUUAAUGAAGAUCUUAGGAAUGUCAAAGGGAUCAGUAAAAUAAGCCUUUAAUAAAUUUCUUUUAGUUGUUUGUGUGUAUAAUUAUUACUAAAAUAUUUGAUUACCUUUUCUGUAUCACCACUGAAGAUAAAUAAAUUAAUUAUUGUUCCUGUAAUCAUAAUGCUCCAUUCUGGUCAGGGGAGACAGACAUAUUAGGGUGACCUCAUAAUUUGUUAUACAGACUGGGCUGCUUUUGAAAGUGAGAAGAAGCUGUUUUAAUAAUUAUCUUGGGAGUUCCAUCGUGGCUCAGUGGAAACAAAUCUGACUAGUAUCCAUGAGGACGCAGGUUUGAUCCCUGGCCUAGCUCAAUUGGUUAAGGAUCCAGAGUUGCCCUGAGCUGUGGUAUAGGUCAUAGAUGUGGCUUGGAUCUGGCGUUGCUGUGGCUGUGGUGUAGGCUGGCAGCUACAGCUCCAGUUCAACUCCUAACAUGGGAACCUCCAUAUGCC